GUGAGGAAUAUUGCGCAAUGGGGGCAACCCUGACGCAGCGACGCCGCGUGGGUGACGAAGGCCUUCGGGUCGUAAAACCCUGUCGGGAGGAAAGAAAUGCGUUCAAGCUAAUAUCUUGGGCGUUUGACGGUACCUCCAAAGGAAGCACCGGCUAACUCUGUGCCAGCAGCCGCGGUAAUACAGAGGGUGCAAGCGUUGUUCGGAAUUACUGGGCGUAAAGGGCGUGCAGGCGGCUUGUCAAGUCAGAUGUGAAAGCCCACGGCUCAACUGUGGAAGCGCAUUUGAAACUGGCAGGCUUGAGUACCAGAGGGGAAAGUGGAAUUCCCGGUGUAGAGGUGAAAUUCGUAGAUAUCGGGAGGAAUACCGGUGGCGAAGGCGACUUUCUGGCUGGAUACUGACGCUGAGACGCGAAAGCGCGGGGAGCAAACAGG
Molecule: ribosomal RNA, 431 nt
Filed under: Candidatus Electronema palustre
Lineage: Bacteria; Pseudomonadati; Thermodesulfobacteriota; Desulfobulbia; Desulfobulbales; Desulfobulbaceae
Description: bacterial SSU rRNA
Rfam family: Bacterial small subunit ribosomal RNA
Source: RNAcentral